This 253-nucleotide ribosomal RNA is filed under the name uncultured bacterium. RNAcentral describes it as "partial 16S ribosomal RNA". It matches the Rfam family "Bacterial small subunit ribosomal RNA", at positions 524 to 776 of the family's 1533-position model. The record is from RNAcentral.
AACGUAGGACGCAAGCGUUAUCCGGAGUUACUGGGCGUAAAGCGCGUGCAGGCGGUCUUGCCAGUCUGAUGUGAAAUCUCCCCGCUCAACGGGGAGCAGCCAUUGGAAACUACAAGACUGGAGUCUGACAGAGGUAGGCGGAAUUCCGGGUGGAGUGGUGAAAUGCGUAGAGAUCCGGAGGAACACCAGAGGCGAAGGCGGCCUACUGGGUCAGUACUGACGCUGAGCCGCGAAAGCCAGGGGAGCGAACGGG